Molecule: ribosomal RNA, 1043 nt
Filed under: Escherichia coli
Lineage: Bacteria; Pseudomonadati; Pseudomonadota; Gammaproteobacteria; Enterobacterales; Enterobacteriaceae
Description: bacterial LSU rRNA
Rfam family: Bacterial large subunit ribosomal RNA
Source: RNAcentral
GGCGAGCGAACGGGGAGCAGCCCAGAGCCUGAAUCAGUGUGUGUGUUAGUGGAAGCGUCUGGAAAGGCGCGCGAUACAGGGUGACAGCCCCGUACACAAAAAUACACAUGCUGUGAGCUCGAUGAGUAGGGCGGGACACGUGGUAUCCUGUCUGAAUAUGGGGGGACCAUCCUCCAAGGCUAAAUACUCCUGACUGACCGAUAGUGAACCAGUACCGUGAGGGAAAGGCGAAAAGAACCCCGGCGAGGGGAGUGAAAAAGAACCUGAAACCGUGUACGUACAAGCAGUGGGAGCACGCUUAGGCGUGUGACUGCGUACCUUUUGUAUAAUGGGUCAGCGACUUAUAUUCUGUAGCAAGGUUAACCGAAUAGGGGAGCCGAAGGGAAACCGAGUCUUAACUGGGCGUUAAGUUGCAGGGUAUAGACCCGAAACCCGGUGAUCUAGCCAUGGGCAGGUUGAAGGUUGGGUAACACUAACUGGAGGACCGAACCGACUAAUGUUGAAAAAUUAGCGGAUGACUUGUGGCUGGGGGUGAAAGGCCAAUCAAACCGGGAGAUAGCUGGUUCUCCCCGAAAGCUAUUUAGGUAGCGCCUCGUGAAUUCAUCUCCGGGGGUAGAGCACUGUUUCGGCAAGGGGGUCAUCCCGACUUACCAACCCGAUGCAAACUGCGAAUACCGGAGAAUGUUAUCACGGGAGACACACGGCGGGUGCUAACGUCCGUCGUGAAGAGGGAAACAACCCAGACCGCCAGCUAAGGUCCCAAAGUCAUGGUUAAGUGGGAAACGAUGUGGGAAGGCCCAGACAGCCAGGAUGUUGGCUUAGAAGCAGCCAUCAUUUAAAGAAAGCGUAAUAGCUCACUGGUCGAGUCGGCCUGCGCGGAAGAUGUAACGGGGCUAAACCAUGCACCGAAGCUGCGGCAGCGACGCUUAUGCGUUGUUGGGUAGGGGAGCGUUCUGUAAGCCUGUGAAGGUGUGCUGUGAGGUAUGCUGGAGGUAUCAGAAGUGCGAAUGCUGACAUAAGUAACGAUAAAGCGGGUGAAAAGC